GCUACGGGAGGCAGCAGUGAGGAAUAUUGGUCAAUGGACGAGAGUCUGAACCAGCCAAGUAGCGUGAAGGAUGACUGCCAUAUGGGUUGUAAACUUCUUUUAUAAAGGAAUAAAACGAGGCACGUGUGCCUUUUUGCAUGUCCUUUAUGAAUAAGGAUCGGCUAACUCCGUGCCAGCAGCCGCGGUAAUACGGAGGAUCCGAGCGUUAUCCGGAUUUAUUGGGUUUAAAGGGAGCGUAGAUGGGUUGUUAAGUCAGUUGUGAAAGUUUGCGGCUCAACCGUAAAAGUGCAAUUGAUACUGGCAGUCUUGAGUACAGUUGAGGUAGGCGGAAUUCGUGGUGUAGCGGUGAAAUGCUUAGAUAUCACGAAGAACCCCGAUUGCGAAGGCAGCUUACUAAACUGUGACUGACAUUGAUGCUCGAAAGUGUGGGUAUCAAACAGGAUUAGAUACCCCUGUAGUC
Molecule: ribosomal RNA, 460 nt
Filed under: uncultured bacterium
Lineage: Bacteria
Description: partial 16S ribosomal RNA
Rfam family: Bacterial small subunit ribosomal RNA
Source: RNAcentral